This 301-nucleotide ribosomal RNA is filed under the name uncultured bacterium. RNAcentral describes it as "partial 16S ribosomal RNA". It matches the Rfam family "Bacterial small subunit ribosomal RNA", at positions 509 to 807 of the family's 1533-position model. The record is from RNAcentral.
CAGUCGCCGCGGGAAUGCGGAGGGAGCUAGCGUUGUUCGGAAUUACUGGGCGCAAAGCGCGCGUAGGCGGUUACUCAAGUCAGAGGUGAAAGCCCGGGGCUCAACCCCGGAACUGCCUUUGAAACUAGGUGACUAGAAUCUUGGAGAGGUCAGUGGAAUUCCGAGUGUAGAGGUGAAAUUCGUAGAUAUUCGGAAGAACACCAGUGGCGAAGGCGACUGACUGGACAAGUAUUGACGCUGAGGUGCGAAAGCGUGGGGAGCAAACAGGAUUAGAUACCCCGGUAGUCCCUGUCUCUUAUAC